UCUGUCCUCAGGGAAGAACACCCUAGUCGUAAAUAACGGCUAGGUUUGACGGUACCUGUGGAGGAAGCUCCGGCUAACUACGUGCCAGCAGCCGCGGUAAUACGUAGGGAGCAAGCGUUGUCCGGAAUUAUUGGGCGUAAAGGGUGUGUAGGCGGUCUAGUAAGUCAAAUGUGAAAUUCAUCGGCUCAACCGAUGAACUGCCUUUGAAACUACUAGACUUGAGGGUAAGAGAAGAGAGUAGAAUUCCUAGUGUAGCGGUGAAAUGCGUAGAUAUUAGGAAGAAUACCAGUGGCGAAAGCGACUCUCUGGCUUACUCCUGACGCUGAGACACGAAAGCUAGGGUAUCAAACCGGAUUAGAUACCCGGGUAGUCCUAGCCGUAAACGCUGGAUACUAGGUGUUGGAGGUUCGACUCCUUCGGUGCCGAAGUUAACGCAAUAAGUAUCCCGCCUGGGGAUUACGACCGCAAGGUUGAAACUCAAAGGAAUUGACGGGGGCCCGCACAAGCGGCGGAGCAUGUGGUUUAAUUCGAAGCAACGCGAAGAACCUUACCAGGGUUUGACAUCCCGUGACCACCUAUGAAAGUAGGAUUUGAUCUUUUGAUCACACGGAGACAGGUGGUGCAUGGCUGUCGUCAGCUCGUGUCGUGAGAUGUUGGGUUAAGUCCCGCAACGAGCGCAACCCUUAUUCUUAGUUGCCAGCACUUUUAGGUGGGGACUCUAAGGAGACUGCCAGUCAAAAAACUGGAGGAAGGUGGGGAUGACGUCAAGUCAUCAUGCCCCUUAUACUCUGGGCUACACACGUGCUACAAUGGACUGUACAGAGGGUCGCUACACCGCAAGGUGAUGCUAAUCUCUAAAACAGUUCCCAGUUCGGAUUGCAGGCUGCAACUCGCCUGCAUGAAGUUGGAGUCGCUAGUAAUCGUGGAUCAGAAUGCCGCGGUGAAUACGUUCCCGGGCCUUGUACACACCGCCCGUCACACCACCCGAGUUGGAUGCACCAGAAGUCAUCA
This 1011-nucleotide ribosomal RNA is filed under the name Selenihalanaerobacter shriftii. Its description in RNAcentral is "bacterial SSU rRNA". It matches the Rfam family "Bacterial small subunit ribosomal RNA", at positions 432 to 1432 of the family's 1533-position model. Lineage: Bacteria; Bacillati; Bacillota; Clostridia; Halanaerobiales; Halobacteroidaceae. The record is from RNAcentral.